CCAGCGGGAUAAUGGUUCACUGCUUACAUUUUUCUUUGAAGAAUGCCUCGAAGAAAAUUCUAUGUACAAUUCUUCGAUACCAGGUAAUGCAUAAAAUUAAGCUAUGCGGAAUAAUGGUUUCUCGCUUACAUUUUUCUUUGAAGAAUACUUCGAAGAAAAUUCUAUGUAGAAUUCUUCGAUACCAGGUAAUGCAUAAAAGUAAGCUAUGCGGCUAAAUUCUACUGUGUUCAUAUUUACAAGUCAAGUAAGUACGUGAAAAACGACAAAUACAAAUUGGUGGAAUAAAAUUCAUAAGUAAAUUUUUUCAUUAUUUCGUCAAAUCAUCAAGCAAAAAGUUGGUUACUCUUUGAAUGUGUGAAAGUUAAAGGCUUCACCGAAUCGGAGUAUAUUCACCAAAUUCAAAAAAGUAUCAAGCUCGCCAAAGGCCGUUUCUUCAAGUCUCGUUGCUUGGAGAAAAACGAAAAGCGACUCAGCCACAAAAAUAAAAGAAAAUAAUAAUGGCUAAAUGAGUAGUGACCAACAUCUCCGCUUUGGCAGCAUCCCGGUUCCUUCCGCUAGUUACCCGUCUGUAUAUAUGUAUAUUUAACGUUUUUUAAAACCUGCUGUUUUCAACCUUUGAUUAUUUUAUAUAUUCAUACAUAUGUAUAUAAUGUGUAUUUAACGUUUUUAAACUAUUUCAAUUUGUAAUAUUUCAGUUCAGUUAAACACAUUUUGUUAUAACAAUUUUUAAGUGCAUUUCGCAUAAAAUAAAACCUUUAUAACGAUUGUAUUGAA
Molecule: long non-coding RNA, 774 nt
Organism: Bactrocera dorsalis (oriental fruit fly)
Lineage: Eukaryota; Metazoa; Arthropoda; Insecta; Diptera; Tephritidae
Exons: 2
Source: RefSeq, a predicted model, not a curated record